Molecule: long non-coding RNA, 455 nt
Organism: Leptidea sinapis
Lineage: Eukaryota; Metazoa; Arthropoda; Insecta; Lepidoptera; Pieridae
Exons: 4
Source: RefSeq, a predicted model, not a curated record
GGUGUCAUAUUUCUGCAUCUACUAAUACCAGUGGCGACAUCAAAGCACGACGAAAUCAGACGAAAUAGGUGGAACGUUACCAAAACAUAUUUCGCGAGGAAACAGAAUGUUAUGCAAUUCCCUCAUUGGCAUCCUGCAUUAAAUCAACAUCUGUUACUAACAGCGAAUCCUUCGGAGUCUUUGUAUCGUCCAUACUGGGAGAACAGUGAAUGGGUUUUCGAUAGGUACAACACUCAAUACACGGGCGCUCAAAUAGCUUAUCAUGUUACGUACGAAACUGAAUCGACACAGCACCCGGAAUGCUCGCUUUUCUGUCCUAAUGCCUACGAAGAAUACGGCGCAGUCUGUGGUCAGCGAUUCGUAGUUGGGGGAUAUUCGAACUGGAAAUAUGAGUACAAGAACUUCACGAAUUUAUGUUAUCUGAAGUAUGAAAACUGCAGGAAGAAAACUGCAAG